RNAcentral lists this Y RNA (99 nucleotides) under Callithrix jacchus (white-tufted-ear marmoset). RNAcentral describes it as "Y RNA (ENSCJAG00000026430.3)". It matches the Rfam family "Y RNA". From Rfam's summary of the family: Y RNAs are components of the Ro ribonucleoprotein particle (Ro RNP), in association with Ro60 and La proteins. The Y RNAs and Ro60 and La proteins are well conserved, but the function of the Ro RNP is not known. Lineage: Eukaryota; Metazoa; Chordata; Mammalia; Primates; Cebidae. The record is from RNAcentral.
GGCUAGUCUGAAGGUAGCAAGUUGUCUCCAUUGACUGCUCACAGUUACAAAUAGAACUCCUUGAUCUACUCUUUCCCUCCUUCUCUUGACUAGUCUUAA